This is a long non-coding RNA of Malurus melanocephalus (red-backed fairy wren), 3643 nucleotides long. RefSeq lists it as uncharacterized. The record is from RefSeq and is a predicted model, not a curated record. NCBI's taxonomy places the organism in Eukaryota, Metazoa, Chordata, Aves, Passeriformes, Maluridae. The transcript has 2 exons.
UCUCUCUGGUUUGAUUUUGAAGGAAGGUGUUCUCCUAUCAACAAAAAGCAUCAUCAGAAAAUAAGAUCCUCUCACCUCCACUCCCUCAAGAUGGCUGAGAAGUGUCUGUACACCUGGAAGGUCAUAGCCAUAAUCUUCUAUAUCCACCACUGCCUCUUUCUCCUGCAUCCAGCCCUUUACUUCAUCCACAUCAUGGUCAUACUGGUGAACUUGACGGGCUGCACUCAGGUUCUGGAAGAAAGAAGUAAUUUAAUGGAAAUACUCRAUAGCAUUUUGUGUCUACAACACAAAAAAGGGUAACCCUAAUUUGUYAUAAUGCAGUACAAAAUGACCAAGAGGGGUAAUGAAACACCCUCUCCAUUAAGUCACCUGAAAGUGAGGUGUUAAGCUAACCUAAUUUCCCCAAGAUCUCUUGGACAAUGGAAAAAAAAACAGAUGUCUCCAAAGAGCAAUUUAUCCCCAUGUAAUGGAGGGAUAUUAUUAUCCAUCAAAAUGGAGAGCAUGAAUUGCUCUCUAAAGGUAGCUCCCUACACCACAGAAAGUGUCCUAAAAUACUCGCUUGGAAUAAAGGUCUGUAUGGCAGACAGUGAAAAUAGAAGAAAUUGAGCAAAAAUAAUGUUUUUCUGAAAUGAGAGGAUUAAAAAAAAAUGUUCUAAUACUAGUUUAUAGUCGAACUAUAUAUUGACAAUUGUGCAUUUAUUUCUGCUAACAGACAUUAAUGGACUUGAACUACUUCAUAAGCAACAUGGGUACGCAACAGUAGUGAAAAAAGGGUUGAGGAUAUCUGAUGUUUUUUCUCUUUAAAGCAAACAAAAACGUUGAGUUCUGUGUGUCACCUCUGCUUUUCCAGACACAUCUGUGACUGCAGUUUCCUGAGAGGGAGUGAGAGGGAAUGAGCUGAUUUAACACCUGACUUCUGCCUAAAGGUGGGGAGUGGCUCUUUGUCCUCUAUCCCAUUCUCUCCCAUAUGCCUUCCUUGAUUUCAAGUAGCCAACUCAGCAAAAAAAAAAAAAAAACCAAAACAGGAGACUUUUGAUCUUGUUUAGCAAACUAUUCAAUAAAUAUUUCCAUGAAGAGACUGAUUAGUGUCAGAGCCAGACUUCUGUUGCUGGUGCUAAACUGUCAGGUUAGCUUUGUUUUUCAGGAAACCAGAGUUAGCCAUGAAUUAAGGAAAACAAUUGCUCAGAGCUGAUAAAUAUCUUUCAAGCAUAAGCCUUGCCAGAAAGAAUAGGAUAAGCAGUGGCUAUAAAAGGAAAAUAAUCUAGAAAAAAAUGAACAAAAUGUACUCAUUGCCUCUGUAAACCUUAAACAUGAGCAAUGCACUGGUUUGGAAAAGAAAGAAGGACAUGGGAGAUGGCACGGGAAUCAAUGCUGCAGUUUUUCAUGUGUUUCCCACCUCUGUCCUUGUCUGAAUGGCAUGGCAUAAUUUCUCCCACGUUUCAUUGAUUUGCUUAGUUCUCUUCUGGAUAAUGUCCAUCUUGCUGUGGCCUUCCUUAUCCAGUUUAGAUGCUAACUCAUUGAAGGAGAUGACUUUGGAAUGUCCCAGAGGUUUUGUCUCAUUUACAAAAUCUUGAAACUUUUUCUCCAGCACCUGCAGAAUAAAUGGGAACACAAACUUAGAUAUAAGAGUUUCUGCCUCCCUCUAGAGAGACAGAAGGAGACCUCUAGAGAGAGACAGAAAGAAUCACUUUCUCUGCUGUGUAUAACAAAAAAGCUUUUAUUUUCUGUUACCUCAACAUCAUCUAAUUCCUGCCCAUAGUCGUCGGACUCUGCCACAGACAGUUUACUGGAAAGCCAUGCAUCCACCAGCUGGAAUUCUCUUUCAAACUGAUAGAACUGGAAUUGUUCUAGCAGGCGUUUUCUCUGGGUGUCAGACUUCUGUAGGAGAGACUGAUAGUCUGCUAGGAUCCCCUGGAGCUUUGAAAGUAUGACUGAACUGCAAAGAAUAAGAAACAGAAAGUAUGUCUUUGUUUAACUGUUCUUUUUGAACACUGUGUUUUCUGACAUGUUGAAUUUUCAAUACCUUUAAAAUACAGAGCAAUCCAGAUAUCAUCAUGGAGUGAGUUAUGCUGUGCCAUUGAAGCCAGCUAGCGCAGGAAAUUGAAGCAUAUCAUACAAAUGACUGCUCUUUCCACUUCCUCCUCCCCAGAUAUAAAAACAAACUUCCAAUGAAAAACAGUGAACUGUCAGGAAUGUUCAUUUCCUUUCCCAAGCACUGUGGUUUUUGAGCAUUUGUGGUAAAUUAGAACUAGAUGAGCGUUCUUGGGARUAGACAAUGGACAAAGAAGCUGACCUGCAUUAAUUGGCCUGUUGCUAAAAAAAACCAACCCUCUCAUAAAAAUAUUAAAACAAUAAUCAGGCUUUUGGGGAGCUCAGUGUGUGUGAUGAUCAUGAAGGAGGGAUGGACUUUACCUGAAGUCUUAUUUCUGAAAGAGCCAUCAGACAUGGGUGAACUAUUUACAUUCUCUGGACAUUUCUGUUAGACCUGGAGGAGAAACCUGUUUUUAUUUUCCUACCUCUCUGGACUGCCUUUGUUUAUUAAGCUGGCACCUGUCUCCUGUACUUUCUCRAUCCGGGACCCGAAACUGUCCAUGUCCAGUUUGGUUGCUUCAAGUUUACGAAGUAAAACUUGUGUGGAUUCUUCAUUCUUCCCAUAAUCAGAGGUCUCCAGAAUGAAACUCCUYUCUGCCAGCCAUGCCUCCACCUCCAGCAGCUGUAUAAAAUACAGGGAUGAGCCUUAACACAGCUUCAUUUAGGUCAAGGUAAAGUAAAUGGAAAGCAGUGGUGCACUGAUACAUCAGUGAAAACAGAGAACAYCUUAGGUGUGUUCCUGCUAUGCAAUCUAACAGACAGUUCCAAAAAAAUGGACCCAGAAUCCAGUAAUUGCAGUUACACAUAAAUCACUGUGAUUAGUUGGGAAGAUAAUUGUUAUUUCUCCAUUUUAACAGACAUGAAAAUUCAGGGCAGUGAGAAUUCUGCUCCUUUCUCAACACUUACAUCCAUUAAGCAGUAUAGGGGUCAGUUGUUUUAAGAAAAGAAAGGCCAAAAUAAAUCUUUCAGAAACCAUCUUUACCUCAUUUAGGAACAGAUGGGCCUCAUAGGACUGCACAAGCCUGUGUCUCCUUUCUUGAGCCUCUGCCUUCAAGGUCUCUACRGAAGUCUCAAGCUCCUUCAGAUGCUCCAUAAUCUUGCGAGAGGCUGGGUGGCCUCCCCUCACCAAUUUCUGUCCCGUACUGAGCACUGCUUUGGUCAAAGCAUCCCGACUGUUUAUCUCAUUCUCCAGAUUCUGGAAAGAGUAAAGAGAAAAAUGAUAGACCAGAAAUUAAAGUUAUGGAAUUUUUAUUCCAGAAAAUGUAGGCCUGUAAUUCCAUUAUAAAUUUGCUUUCUGUUCACGAAAGUGGGUCGGAGGUAYGAAGUCUGAAUGCAUGCUUGAAGUGGAGUGGAGGAGUUUUUUGGGGUGAAGGAGUGAUCACAGAAAUCAGAUUUAGUCAUGAAGUUUGAAUUUUGAUGUGUAUCCACCUCAGAGUGUGGAGCGAAGAGGAUCAAAUCAUAAACCUCUAAUUUGUAGAUUCCACUGAAAUAUAGCCACUUCCAUUCCMUUAUGUGGCAUUUCUUGAAUUAAAACAUGUCUAGAGAAGAAUGA